Molecule: long non-coding RNA, 3284 nt
Organism: Taeniopygia guttata (zebra finch)
Lineage: Eukaryota; Metazoa; Chordata; Aves; Passeriformes; Estrildidae
Source: RefSeq, a predicted model, not a curated record
UUUUGUUCAUCAGGAAAAGCCCCAGGGAUUGUGUAAGUCACAGGAAACAGUGGGGCAGGAGGGCAGGAUGUAUUGCUAUUAGUAGAUAGUGGAAUUGAGAGAUCUUUGAAAGCUGCGUUACCAUAUUUAAAGAAGUUAUUGCAGGGUUAACGCUACCUCGGAGGAAGAAGAAUAGGAGCUUUCCUCAAACGACCACCGGACAGCAGACAAAGACCCCUCGCAACACGCCACGCAGAUGCAGAGCACGUCGAGACUGUCACAAAGUCUGGAACUGAAGGGGUAUGAGAACUGAAAGACCGGGAGGUGUGGUGCGAGCCGUUGGUGGGAGCAGAGGCUCCCCGGCCGCCCAGCGCUGCAUUUGCCCGUACUGCUUGCUUGCUAAAUUAAUAAAAUUCUCUUUAUAAAGUGACACAAAUUGGUCCCGUGUCAUAAUUUAUAACAAUAUUUGGUGCUGUGACUCGGAUAGAGAAAUAGCCCGGUUGUUCUGGGACCCUCAGGAGGCGCCUUGCCUUUUUUGGCGGCCCGAUUGUUCCAGACCUCCCGGUCUCUCUACCGACAAACCUAAAUUAAGCUGCGGACAAAGGAGAGCCGGUUAAAAGGAGAACCGGUUACCCCUGUAAACUUUGUGCACGAAGAUCCGAGCGAAGACGCAGGACGCAAACUGCUAUCAGAACAGCUGAGAAGGGGUGGACUCAUGCGAGCCACGUCAAAGGUCCAGCCACCACAGACGACCACUGGAAAGUGACCAGUCAGCCUGGGGACUUGAAGGUUACCAUUAAGAGAAACUGAUGAACUCUCUAUACAUCAUUCAAGUCGGUCACAAAGGGGAGCAAGAGGGAUAUAAUUACCUGCUUGUUAGUGAUUAUUUGAUAAUUUGUAAUAAGGUAGACUGUGAUUGUUAUCCUUUUGUAUGCUUUGCAUGUAAAGUUUGCCAAGAACGGUGGGGAGUCCAUUGCCGAAGGGAGAGGCUGCCCACUGGGGUUUGUACAGAAUGUUACACGACUGAACGAGAAUUAACCGAAGCUGUGUUGAAAUUAGGGGAGUUGGAAAUCAGUGGAUUCCCUUUGAAUCUGAGGAAAAUUUACACCAGAGGGGUGCAUCCAGAAAACUUUUGUUUCCACUCUAACGAGCCCCCUCCAUUUGUUGCCCAAAUUAUAAAAGAGUGUUGUUGAAGGGAACUAAAGGGGGUCCCGUGUAACCCACCCCCGGUCAAGGAUAAGAACUGGGAACAGUACAAGGUUAGGCAGGAGCAGGAGAAUGGGCGCUCAGGUGAGUACCGCUGCUGCCGAGAAGAUGGUUUACCCCGCGGCUCGAAGCACCCGAGUCGGCGGGCAAGGCAUUGGGGAAAGAGCCAGGCCCCCCAAAAAUAGAAUAAUGCUGAAAUGCUCCAACUAUUGCCAGCCAAGUACUAAGUUCCUCCAGAAGACCAGUCUGAUUACCCCCGAGACACCAACAGGGCAACAAACCCAAAAGGGGAAAAUAAGACAUUAUAUAGUAAAUGCAAGGUCAGGACUCCACCCUUAUUGGCAAAUUACUGGUAUUACAAUGUUUUUUUUACCCUAUACUAAGGAGAGGGCUCCCAAGCUUUACAUCAGCCUUUUAAGUGGACACUAACCCGAGUGGAUGGUGUGGGAAUUCAGAACCAGAUAACAUCCGGAUCCCCUAGUUUUAACCCACAGUUAUGUGAACUAGCCCCUAUAGAGCCUUGUUUGGAUAGAAACGGAUUUUAUAUGUGCCCAGCAUCAAACCCAGGGAAAGGGUGUUGCAACUACCAUGGAGAAUAUUUCUGUGGGCACUGGGGCUGUGAAACAAUAGCUUCAGAUUGGUCAGUAGCAGGAGAUUAAUUCCUUAAAGUAUCAUGGGGGCCUUAUGGAUAUAAACCUCCGCAGAAGGAUUCCAGUGGUAAAAUUGUGAACUCGGAGAAUUGUCAUUAUUAAGGGAAGGCUAGAAGCAUCACACCUGAUGCUGAUUAGAGCAAAAUAUGAGUCAAUGCCAGAAAACCUAUAAAUGGAAGAGAUCCUAGUUAUAAGCCACCAAGAAUUACAAAGGUUUGAUGAACAAAAUGAUGAAAAGACAUUAGGGGGGAUUUGUGAAAGACAAUAGCAUAGUUUUUGUUCAUCAGGAAAAGCCCCAGGGAUUGUGUAAAUCGCAGGAAACAGUGGGGCAGGAGGGCAGGAUGUACUGCUAUUAGUAGAUAGUGGAAUUGAGAGAUCUUUGAAAGCUGUGUUACCAUAUUUGGAGAAGUUAUUGCAGGGUUAACGCUACCUCGGAGGAAGAAGAAUAGGAGCUUUCCUCAAACAACCACCGGACAGCAGAAAAAAGACCCCUAGCAACACGCCGCGCAGAUGCAGAGCACGUCGAGACUGUCACAAAGUCUGGAACUGAAGGGAGGAACCACAACGAACACCUGAUCGGGGAGGAGAUGCUUCCUUGUCCUAGCUCUGACCUAAGUGUACACAGGAUGGAGUGGCCAGGUAACCUUUACCAGAGGUGCAAAUUACAGCACUAGCUUCCCACAUCUGCUAUAUUUUGUGAAAAAUGUGUAUUUUAUGAUUGGCUUUUCACAAAUAUUAAAACGACUAUUACAUGUGUUAUGUUAGAAAGUUAUGCUGUAUUAAUUCUCUUAAGUAGCGUGUUAAAUAAGUUUUAGGUUAUAACAUAAUGUUAAAAUAGAAACUAUGUGAUAUAAAAUAUUUUUUACUAGUUCAAGAAAGGGUAAGAUAAUCAAGAAACUCUUUGCACAGCGGUAACAGCAACAGGACACAUAAAGAGCUACUGCCUCCUUAUCAGAAAAGACACUCUUCCACCUUCUCUCCAUCUUCAUGGAACCACCAGGAUUAAGGGGAAGAAGUUGACAAACACCAGAAAAAUUCUUAAUUUGCAAGGAAUUUAUGCAUCAUGUAUAAGAUAUAUGAAUAUGCAACAGGCUAUUGCUUUUAAGGGUUAUUACUUUGUUCACGAGGCAUGUUUUUGGCAGUGUUAUAAAUUAUGACACGGGACCAAUUUGUGUCACUUUAUAAAGAGAAUUUUAUUAAUUUAGCAAGCAAGCAGUAUGGGCAAAUGCAGCGCUGGGCGGCCGGGGAGCCUCUGCUCCCACCAACGGCUCGCACCACACCUCCCGGUCUUUCAGUUCUCAUACCCCUUCAGUUCCAGACUUUGUGACAGUCUCGACGUGCUCUGCAUCUGCGUGGCGUGUUGCGAGGGGUCUUUGUCUGCUGUCCGGUGGUCGUUUGAGGAAAGCUCCUAUUCUUCUUCCUCCGAGGUAGCGUUAACCCUGCAAUAAC